AAGUCGUAACAAGGUUUCCGUAGGUGAACCUGCGGAAGGAUCAUUAACGAGUUAAAGUCGCUCGACCGUGCUGGUGGAGACACAUGUGCACGUUGGUCGCAAACCUCAUCCACACACCUGUGAAUCUAUGGCCUUCAGGUCUCUGACCCGGGGGCAACCUUUUUUACCCACUCUGUUCGUAAAGGAAUGUCAUAGUGUGAUAAACACAAAUGAAACAACUUUCAACAACGGAUCUCUUGGCUCUC
RNAcentral lists this unclassified non-coding RNA (245 nucleotides) under fungal sp. Its description in RNAcentral is "partial internal transcribed spacer region". The stretch from base 1 to 46 matches the Rfam family "Eukaryotic small subunit ribosomal RNA", at positions 1786 to 1831 of the family's 1831-position model. Lineage: Eukaryota; Fungi. The record is from RNAcentral.